UGACCUCUGACCUCAAAUCAGGUAGGACUACCCSCUGAACUUAAGCAUAUCAAUAAGCGGAGGA
This 64-nucleotide ribosomal RNA is filed under the name Ganoderma lucidum. Its description in RNAcentral is "partial 28S ribosomal RNA". The stretch from base 8 to 64 matches the Rfam family "Eukaryotic large subunit ribosomal RNA", at positions 1 to 57 of the family's 3401-position model. The record is from RNAcentral. Lineage: Eukaryota; Fungi; Basidiomycota; Agaricomycetes; Polyporales; Polyporaceae.